GAGAAGAAAUGGAGGGAAAAAAGUGUUGAAGGAGAUGAUGGUUUGAGGACUGUAGAGUGUUUGAGAGGAAGAUUGCUUGCAGAGAGAACAACUUCAAGGGCUGCAAAAGAAGAAGCAGAGCUAAUGAGUAACA
Molecule: long non-coding RNA, 133 nt
Organism: Telopea speciosissima
Lineage: Eukaryota; Viridiplantae; Streptophyta; Magnoliopsida; Proteales; Proteaceae
Exons: 3
Source: RefSeq, a predicted model, not a curated record